RNAcentral lists this long non-coding RNA (1193 nucleotides) under Olea europaea subsp. europaea. Lineage: Eukaryota; Viridiplantae; Streptophyta; Magnoliopsida; Lamiales; Oleaceae. The record is from RNAcentral.
GCCGGUAUUUUCUUCAAAAGAAUCCAGUGUAGGAAUUACUUCUGAGUAAUCAAAUGAAAAAUCAGGAAUCAAGUGAUAAUUUAAUAAAUUCAUUACGAAGAUGAGAACGCUAUUAUGAUACAUCCUUGAUGUCAGCACUUCGUUCAAGAAAUCACAAAUUUAUAACCUAUAUCUUCACAACUCCUCUUAAGCCUUGAAAAAGAAUCGGCUUUCACUUUUCAUUCAGGUAUCCACACUAUGCUCAUGUUUGGUGGAGAUUCUUUAUGCUCAUUUUUUCUUUACAACUACACAUUUCCCAAUAAAAUAAUUUUGCACGUGUACCCAUAACUUUUCCCAAGUAUCCAUACUAUGCUCAUGUUUGGUAGAGAUUCAUUAAACUCAUUGACAACUACACAUUCAACCAGUAAACUCAUAUACACUGAUGACUAAUUAAGAUACGAGAGCAAAAAGCAUUACAUCCUAAAUAUAUUGAGAUCAUAGUUUUUGUUUCUAGCCACUAUCACAAUAGAUGCUGCCUUUCUUCAUGAUCUAAAUUUAAAAGAAAAGGAAAUCUUAGGAUUAUAAAGUACACUAAAAAGAAAUACGAUCCCCAUCUCAAAGUAUGCCUCGAAGGUUGUAUCCCAAGCCAAAACCAAACAAAACCUAGAAAGUUUAUGUGUCAUGCAAAAUCAAACCAUCCCAAUACACUUGCACCUCAAUAAAAUAGAGUACAAACAGAGAGUUCCCGAGCAUCCCCCAAUUCUUGGAGUUAUGGGAUGAUCUUGGAAGUACAAUGAAAAACAAACUUAGCAAUUAAGAUAUAUCAAUAAUGGCAUAGUAGUUGCCAUAUCAUACCCCCAAUCCCUGUAGAUCAAAAUCCAAUCUUUAAAAAACAGUGUAUAACCAUCACCUACCAAUCAGUACACACAGAAUUGUGUGACUAUGAAAGCUUAUCAACAUUAUGCUGAAGGAAAAUCAAUAUUUUCCCCGUCAUUCCUAUCCUAGACCAGACUACACUGAGAAAAGUGCGCCAGAAAGCAGGGAAUUACAUCCCGGAUCUUUUUAAUGUUGAAGCUCAAUGAUUAAUAAAGCACAAGUUCACGAGGCAAAAAGCAGGGAAUUACAUCCCGGAUCUUUUUAAUGUUGAAGCUCAAUGAUUAAUAAAGCACAAGUUCACGAGGAAAUAUAGGCAAAAUAAAUAUUGAAGAAUUUUG